GACGAACGCUGGCGGCGUGCUUAACACAUGCAAGUCGAACGGAAAGGCCCUGCUUGCAGGGUACUCGAGUGGCGAACGGGUGAGUAACACGUGGGUGAUCUGCCCUGCACUUCGGGAUAAGCCUGGGAAACUGGGUCUAAUACCGGAUAGGAGCCAUUUUUAGUGUGAUGGUUGGAAAGUUUUUUCGGUGUAGGAUGAGCUCGCGGCCUAUCAGCUUGUUGGUGGGGUAAUGGCCUACCAAGGCGGCGACGGGUAGCCGGCCUGAGAGGGUGGACGGCCACAUUGGGACUGAGAGGCGGCCCAGGCUCCGACGGGAGGCAGCAGUGGGGAAUAUUGCACAAUGGGCGCAAGCCUGGUGCAGCGACGCCGCGUGGGGGAUGACGGCCUUCGGGUUGUAGACUCCUUUCGCUAGGGACGAAGCUUUUUGUGACGGUACCUAGAUAAGAAGCACCGGCUAACUACGUG
Molecule: ribosomal RNA, 465 nt
Filed under: uncultured bacterium
Lineage: Bacteria
Description: partial 16S ribosomal RNA
Rfam family: Bacterial small subunit ribosomal RNA
Source: RNAcentral